UACGUAGGGGGCAAGCGUUGUCCGGAUUUAUUGGGCGUAAAGAGCGUGUAGGCGGCCAGGUAGGUCCGCUGUGAAAACUCGAGGCUCAACCUCGAGAUGUCGGCGGAAACCAUCUGGCUAGAGUCCGGAAGAGGAGAGUGGAAUUCCUGGUGUAGCGGUGAAAUGCGCAGAUAUCAGGAAGAACACCCGUGGCUAAGGCGGCUCUCUAGUACGGUACUGACGCUGAGACGCGAAAGCGUGGGGAGCGAACAGG
RNAcentral lists this ribosomal RNA (253 nucleotides) under uncultured bacterium. Its description in RNAcentral is "partial 16S ribosomal RNA". It matches the Rfam family "Bacterial small subunit ribosomal RNA", at positions 524 to 776 of the family's 1533-position model. The record is from RNAcentral.